This 88-nucleotide transfer RNA is filed under the name Nelumbo nucifera (sacred lotus). It matches the Rfam family "tRNA". Rfam says of the family: Transfer RNA (tRNA) molecules are approximately 80 nucleotides in length. Their secondary structure includes four short double-helical elements and three loops (D, anti-codon, and T loops). The record is from Rfam by way of RNAcentral. Lineage: Eukaryota; Viridiplantae; Streptophyta; Magnoliopsida; Proteales; Nelumbonaceae.
GGGGUGAUGGCGCAGUUGGCUAGCGCGUAGGUCUCAUAACUUGUAUUCAGUGAUCCUGAGGUCGAGAGUUCGAGCCUCUCUCACCCAA